GACGAACGCUGGCGGCGUGCUUAACACAAGCAAGUCGAACGAUGAAGAAGAGAAACGCGAACUUCGGUUCAAAUUUCACUUCGGAUUAGUGGCAGACGGGUGAGUAACGCGUGAGCAACCUACCUCUUACAAAGGGAUAGCCUCGGGAAACCGUGAUUAAUACCAUAUGACACAUUCAUAAGGCAUCUUAAGAAUGUUAAAGCUACGGCGGUAAGAGAUGGGCUCGCGUCCCAUUAGCUAGUUGGUGAGGUAACGGCCCACCAAGGCGACGAUGGGUAACCGGCCUGAGAGGGUGAACGGUCACAUUGGAACUGAGACACGGUCCAAACUCCUACGGGAGGCAGCAGUGGGGAAUAUUGCACAAUGGAGGGAACUCUGAUGCAGCGACGCCGCGUGAGCGAUGAAGGAAUUCGUUUCGUAAAGCUCUGUUCUAUGGGAAGAAAAGGACUGUACCAUAGGAGAAAGCCCCGGCUAAAUACGUG
This 482-nucleotide ribosomal RNA is filed under the name uncultured bacterium. RNAcentral describes it as "partial 16S ribosomal RNA". It matches the Rfam family "Bacterial small subunit ribosomal RNA", at positions 28 to 507 of the family's 1533-position model. The record is from RNAcentral.